RNAcentral lists this transfer RNA (82 nucleotides) under bacterium. RNAcentral's name for it is "tRNA-Leu". It matches the Rfam family "tRNA". From Rfam's summary of the family: Transfer RNA (tRNA) molecules are approximately 80 nucleotides in length. Their secondary structure includes four short double-helical elements and three loops (D, anti-codon, and T loops). Further hydrogen bonds mediate the characteristic L-shaped molecular structure. tRNAs have two regions of fundamental functional importance: the anti-codon, which is responsible for specific mRNA codon recognition, and the 3' end, to which the tRNAs corresponding amino acid is attached (by aminoacyl-tRNA synthetases). tRNAs cope with the degeneracy of the genetic code in two manners: having more than one tRNA (with a specific anti-codon) for a particular amino acid; and 'wobble' base-pairing, i.e. permitting non-standard base-pairing at the 3rd anti-codon position. RNAcentral also lists the same sequence under 1 other name. The record is from RNAcentral.
GCGAGAGUGGCGAAAUUGGCAGACGCGCUGGACUUAGGAUCCAGUGAGGCAACUCGUAGGGGUUCGAGUCCCCUCUCUCGCA